Molecule: unclassified non-coding RNA, 253 nt
Filed under: uncultured Halomonadaceae bacterium
Lineage: Bacteria; Pseudomonadati; Pseudomonadota; Gammaproteobacteria; Oceanospirillales; Halomonadaceae
Description: contains 16S-23S intergenic spacer region
Rfam family: Bacterial small subunit ribosomal RNA
Source: RNAcentral
UACGGAGGGUGCGAGCGUUAAUCGGAAUUACUGGGCGUAAAGCGCGCGUAGGCGGCUAAGUAAGCCGGUUGUGAAAGCCACGGGCUCAACCUGGGAAUGGCAUCCGGAACUGGUUAGCUAGAGUGCAGGAGAGGAAGGUAGAAUUCCGGGUGUAGCGGUGAAAUGCGUAGAGAUCGGGGGGAAUACCAGUGGCGAAGGCGGCCUUCUGGAUUGACACUGACGCUGAGGUGCGAAAGCGUGGGUAGCAAACAGG